UACUUUGCAAUAUGUAUAAAUACAUACAUAUAUAUAUUAUUAUACAUAAAAAUGAAAGUAUAAACACUCAUGCAAGUUUUGUUUUUACUUACAACGUUCGUAUUUAAAUGUACGAAUAAUGUGUGAUAAAUUGUGAAAAUUUUUAAUAAAAUAAAAAAAAUAAAUAAUAAAUUACAAAUAAGCAGACAUUCGAGGGAUAUAAAAGAAUAACAGGCGAAUUGACGAACGGACAAAUAACCAAAAAGUUGUGCAUAUAUAUAUAUAUAUAUGAACACAAAUAGAAUCACACAAUAUAUGUUAACAAGUUGCAUAUACAUGUAUUAAAAAAAAAAAAAAAAAAAAACUAAACAUUUAAUUAUUUAUGUACAUAUUAGAGCGUACAUAUAUAUAUAUAUAUAUAUAAGUGUGCAUGCACAUAUUGUUUUUAGAACGUUGUAUAAGUUUUUAAAUACAUACACACAUACAUACAUACACACAUACAUACAUACAUAAAUACAUACACACAUACAUACAUACAUACAUAUAUACAUAUAUACAUAUAUACAUAUAUACAUACGGGAACUUACAGAUUCCAACACAUCUCUACUUCAGUUGUAGCUACCUUCUCAAACAAAACACAAAUUCGUUAUAACUAUAUUUUAGUAUCUAAGCGUAAAAAAAAAAAAAAAAAAAAAAAAAAAAAAAAAUGGUAAGAGUUAAUCCGUCUGAAAACGUGAAGGACUGUCCUCAAUUGAUUGGUAAAAAAACUGUUGAUAAGAAAUAUGAACGCAGUAAGAAUGUUGGAGAAUGUCGUUUAAGUAAUAAUAUAAAUAAAUUAAUAAUAAAUAAUUAUGUAAAGAAAAACGAAGUAAAUAAUAUAAAAAAUUUAAGUAGUAGGGGUAGUGAAAGUAGUAUGCAAAGUAUAUAUAAUGAAAACGACUAUAACAGAGACGAUAAUAUACAUAAUAGUUACAACAAUGGCUAUCACAUUAGUAAUACUAACUAUUAUCACACUAAUUAUAAUAAUGGAUAUUAUAAUAAUGACUAUUAUAUGAACGAGCGCAAUAAAAACUUAUACGAAAGUGAAUCCGAAGAAGACUAUACGCGCUCAACAUAUUUUAAUAACAAUAAAAAGGACGAAGAUAGUAAUAAAUAUACAAAAUAUAACAUCAUAACUAACAUAAGUAAACAGUUGAAUGAUCAAAUAAGUAAAGGCCCCAGUGACGAAUCAGUAAAAAAAUUAAUUACACAAGUAAGUUAUAGCCGUUUUUUUACUUUAUUAAAAAAUAUCUUAACAUAUUUACCUUUUUCUAUUAAUGACUAUUUAAUUGGAACACUCGAAUUAAAAGAAAUAAUUGAUAAUAAAGAUAGCUUAUGUUUUAAAUUAUACACAGAAGAAGAAUUGAUGAAAUAUGUAUAUAGUCAGGAGGGAAAUACAUUAGUAAAUAGUAAAGUAUAUAAUUUGUUUGCAAGAUAUAAAAUAAUGAAAAAUAAAAAAGAACAUAUCAACCAUUCACACCCUACUAAUGAGACUCACACGAAAAACAACGACAACAGUAAGGGUAAUAAUUAUGACGGUAAUAAUUAUGACAGUAAUAAUUAUGACAGUAAUAAUAAUUAUGACCGUAAUAAUAAUUAUAACCCUAAUAAUAAUAAUAAUAAUAAUAAUAGUAAUGCCAGUACUGAUUAUGACAUGAACAAGAUUAACUUGGAAAACAUAUUAAUAGAAAAGACUCGCAUAUAUAUAUAUAAAACUUAUUCAUUUAUAGAAGGUCGAGAUAAAAAUUUAUCAUAUAUUUACCAAAUUUGUCAUGCCCUAGAUUAUAAAACCAAUACAUUUUUGUUAUCAGUAUUUAUAUUUGAUUGUUAUAUUCAUCGUAUUAACGAAUUAACUAAAAAAAAUCAUUAUAAAAAAAUAAAACUAUUAGUAAUUAUAUCAUCUAUUUUGUUAGCCAUUAUAAAAACACAAACCUUUAGCAGUGCAUGUGUUAAUCAUUUACGAGACAUAUUAUAUUUUUUACAGAAUGAAAGAAAUGAAAACUUAAAGUAUACAUGUAUUGAAAUUUCAAAUAAGCAAAUGGAAAUGUUAAAACUCUUACCAAAUAAUUAUAAUAAUUAUUUAACUUAUUCAGAAUUAGCUUAUGUUUAUUUUGCUAACUUAAAAAAAUGUUCAGAAAAAUAUCCAGCUAUUAAAAUAUAUUAUAUAUUUUUAGAACAUUUUGGAUUUCUAUAUUAUAUAUUUGAUGUUAUAUAUGCAUAUUCUAUGUAUAUAGUUUCAGUUGGGUCUUAUAAACUCAUACCGCCUAGUCGUAUUGUAGCUACUAUCAUUUUAUAUUUUACUAACGCU
Piliocolobus tephrosceles (Ugandan red Colobus) is the source of this 2326-nucleotide long non-coding RNA. The record is from Ensembl. NCBI's taxonomy places the organism in Eukaryota, Metazoa, Chordata, Mammalia, Primates, Cercopithecidae.